GAUGAAGAACGUAGCGAAAUGCGAUACGUAAUGUGAAUUGCAGAAUUCAGUGAAUCAUCGAGUCUUUGAACGCACAUUGCGCCCUCUGGUAUUCCGGAGGGCAUGCCUGUCCGAGCGUCAUUGCUGCCCUCAAGCACGGCUUGUGUGUUGGGCCCCGCCCCCCGAUCCCGGGGGGCGGGCCCGAAAGGCAGCGGCGGCACCGCGUCCGGUCCUCGAGCGUAUGGGGCUUUGUCACCCGCCCUGUAGGCCCGGCCGGCGCUUGCCGAUCAACCAAACUUUUUUCCAGGUUGACCUCGGAUCAGGUAGGGAUACCCGCUGAACUUAAGCAUAUCAAUAAGCGGAGGA
Molecule: unclassified non-coding RNA, 345 nt
Filed under: soil metagenome
Description: partial contains 5.8S ribosomal RNA, internal transcribed spacer 2, and large subunit ribosomal RNA
Rfam family: 5.8S ribosomal RNA (bases 1-120)
Source: RNAcentral